Oreochromis aureus is the source of this 392-nucleotide long non-coding RNA. NCBI's taxonomy places the organism in Eukaryota, Metazoa, Chordata, Actinopteri, Cichliformes, Cichlidae. The record is from Ensembl.
AUCUACCCUUAUCUAGCUGUGUGUUUUGUCUGCCUGUCCUCGAUAAAGGACAGCGAUGUCACUGUGGAGCCACACCAGUAUACCUACAGGAAAAACCAUUCCACAGACAAUGCCAUGUCAUCAGUAGUUCCUGCAUGUUUCACAAACCUGAAAACACUAGACCUCCCCAUGCUGGAGACGAGCAGCUUUUAAUGCGGGCUCCAGCUUUGGUUACCUUGGUGUACAUCUUUCUGAGGACCUUACAUAGAGCCACAACACUGGACCCCUGGUUAAGACGGUACUGUCUCAGGAGGCUGAUGCACACCAGAUGGUUGGUGGAGAGGAUCCUGUCCUGUCUGGCAUGGUAGCUACUAUGUGGUAGAGAAGAAGGCUAAGUUGAGGGUGGUGACAGC